GGUAAGAGGGUGUAGGCGGAUUCGGUUAAGUCCUAUCGUGAAAACCUGGGGGCUCACCCCUGGGCGUGCGAUGUGAUACUGCCGGGCUAGAGGAUGGUAGAGGCCCAGUGGGAAUUACCGGUGUAGCGGUGAAAUGCGCAGAUAUCGGGAGGAACACCAGUAGCGAAGGCGGCUGGCUGGGCCAUACCCUGACGCUGAGACGCGAAAGCGUGGGGAGCGAACAGGAUUAGAUACCUUGGUAGUCCACGCAGUAAACGAUGAACACUAGGUGUUGGUGGAGUAGAAUCCGUCGGCGCCGCAGUUAACGCGUUAAGUGUUCCGCCUGGGGAGUACGGCCGCAAGGCUAAAACUCAAAAGAAUUGACGGGGGCCCGCACAAGCAGCGGAGCAUGUUCUUUAAUUUGAUGCAACGCGAAGAACCUUACCUGGACUUGACAUGGUGCUGCAAGCGCACGGAAACGUGUGACCUUCGAGGGUGCACCACAGAUGCUGCAUGGCUGUCGUCAGCUCGUGUCGUGAGAUGUUGGGUUAAGUCCCGCAACGAGCGCAACCCCUAUAGUGUGUUGCUAACAUUCAGUUGAGGACUCACGCUAGACUGCCGGUGACAAACCGGAGGAAGGUGGGGAUGAGGUCAAGUCAUCAUGGCUCUUACGUCCAGGGCUAGAAACGUGCUACAAUGGCGUACACAAAGGGCAGCGAGACCGCGAGGUGGAGCGAAUCCCAUCAAAGUACGUCUAAGUUCGGAUCGCAGUCUGCAACUCGACUGCGUGAAGGCGGAGUUGCUAGUAAUCGCGGAUCAGAACGCCGCGGUGAAUGCGUUCCCGGGCCUUGUACACACCGCCCGUCACACCAAGAGAGUAAGUAAUGCCCGAAGUGGGCGCAGCUAACCGGCUUGUCCGGGGGCGGCUCACGAAGCUAGGAUUUGCGAUCUCGGUGAUCUUGAAACAACGUAGCC
Molecule: ribosomal RNA, 954 nt
Filed under: uncultured Actinomycetes bacterium
Lineage: Bacteria; Bacillati; Actinomycetota; Actinomycetes
Description: bacterial SSU rRNA
Rfam family: Bacterial small subunit ribosomal RNA
Source: RNAcentral